CCUACGGGAGACUGCAGUGAGGAAUAUUGGUCAAUGGACGAGAGUCUGAACCAGCCAAGUAGCGUGAAGGAUGACGGCCCUAUGGGUUGUAAACUUCUUUUAUAUGGGAAUAAAACGUUCCACGUGUGGGAUUUUGUAUGUACCAUAUGAAUAAGGAUCGGCUAACUCCGUGCCAGCAGCCGCGGUAAUACGGAGGAUCCGAGCGUUAUCCGGAUUUAUUGGGUUUAAAGGGAGAGUAGGUGGAUUGUUAAGUCAGUUGUGAAAGUUUGCGGCUCAACCGUAAAAUUGCAGUUGAAACUGGCAGUCUUGAGUACAGUAGAGGUGUGCGGAAUUCGUGGUGUAGCGGUGAAAUGCUUAGAUAUCACGAAGAACUCCGAUUGCGAAGGCAGUUCACUGGACUGCAACUGACACUGAGGCUCGAAAGUGUGGGUAUCAAACAGGAUUAGAUACCCCUGUAGUC
Molecule: ribosomal RNA, 460 nt
Filed under: uncultured bacterium
Lineage: Bacteria
Description: partial 16S ribosomal RNA
Rfam family: Bacterial small subunit ribosomal RNA
Source: RNAcentral